AAAAAUUUAGUUAAUUUAUAACGUUAGUUUGUCAAACUAAAGUAAUUAUUUAUAAUAAUUUUUG
RNAcentral lists this transfer RNA (64 nucleotides) under Lasioderma redtenbacheri. RNAcentral's name for it is "tRNA-Asp". The record is from RNAcentral. Lineage: Eukaryota; Metazoa; Arthropoda; Insecta; Coleoptera; Ptinidae.